This 109-nucleotide ribosomal RNA is filed under the name Scophthalmus maximus (turbot). Lineage: Eukaryota; Metazoa; Chordata; Actinopteri; Pleuronectiformes; Scophthalmidae. The record is from RNAcentral.
UCUUACGGCCACACCGCCUGGUUCACGCUUGAUCUCGGAAGAUAAGAUAGGUUGGGCCUGGUUAGUACUUGGAUGGGAGACCGCCUGGGAAUACCAGGUGCUGUAAGCU